UACGUAGGGGGCAAGCGUUGUCCGGAAUCAUUGGGCGUAAAGAGCGUGUAGGCGGCCCGAUAAGUCCGCUGUGAAAGUCCAGGGCUCAACCCUGGAAUGCCGGUGGAUACUGUCGGGCUCGAAUCCGGAAGAGGUGAGUGGAAUUCCUGGUGUAGCGGUGAAAUGCGUAGAGAUGUGGAGGAACACCGAUGGCGAAGGCAGCCCCCUGGGCUGAGAUUGACGCUCAGGCGCGACAGCGUGGGGAUCAAACAGG
RNAcentral lists this ribosomal RNA (253 nucleotides) under uncultured bacterium. RNAcentral's name for it is "partial 16S ribosomal RNA". It matches the Rfam family "Bacterial small subunit ribosomal RNA", at positions 524 to 776 of the family's 1533-position model. The record is from RNAcentral.